Molecule: transfer RNA, 72 nt
Filed under: Myotis davidii
Lineage: Eukaryota; Metazoa; Chordata; Mammalia; Chiroptera; Vespertilionidae
Rfam family: tRNA
About the family: Transfer RNA (tRNA) molecules are approximately 80 nucleotides in length. Their secondary structure includes four short double-helical elements and three loops (D, anti-codon, and T loops).
Source: Rfam by way of RNAcentral
GCCGGUUUGGCUCAGUGGAUAGAGCAUCGGCCUGCAGACCGAAGGGUACCGGUUCAAUUCUGGUCAAGGGCA